Molecule: long non-coding RNA, 568 nt
Organism: Zingiber officinale
Lineage: Eukaryota; Viridiplantae; Streptophyta; Magnoliopsida; Zingiberales; Zingiberaceae
Exons: 4
Source: RefSeq, a predicted model, not a curated record
UCCACGAAUCUCAGCGCGCUGGACCAGGGAAGGCAGAUCCAAGCUCUCAUCUUCAAGAAGAAUCUACCCAUGGACGUCGCCGCCACCAACUCGCUCAUCAAUCUCUACUUCAAGUGCGGCAGCAUCGCCGACGCGGAGAAGGUGUUCGACGGUGCCAUCUACCAGGCCAGAUAUGGUUGAAGUUGUGAACAUACUAGAGAUGAUCAGAUGCCCUCAGGAUAAUCCGGAAGAGGAGCUUUCUUGACGGUUUGGUCCACAAUCUCUGCGACAUAAACCAGUUAUAUGGCCCAAGUGAUGCGAUCAUUCCAUUCAUCUUGUAGCAAUUACCAGGAACUCUAAGUUGCAUGUUUAAUUAAAUCUGAAAGGUCUUACUAGUAUUCAAAUAUUGUUACCUCAUGUUUCUCCUUCCUUGUUCAGUUCUUGCAUAUGUAGAGGAUUGAGAUUGUGAAAGUUGGUGAAGUUCAUAUAGAGAAUGCAAGUCUCCAUAGAAGAAGGAGAAGGUAAAGCGCAAGAGCUCGGUGUCAUGUUUAUCAAAACAAGCGCAAAAGUUGGCUUCAAUAUAAAGGCA